GCCCGCUCAGAAACUUAAGGAAUUGACGGGGCCCGCACAAGCGGUGGAGUAUGUGGUUUAAUUCGAUGCAACGCGAAGAACCUUACCUGGUCUUGACAUCCCGGAGACCCUUAGGAAACUAGGGGUGCUUCCAUCUGGAGAAUCUGGAGACAGGUGCUGCAUGGCUGUCGUCAGCUCGUGUCGUGAGAUGUUGGGUUAAGUCCCGCAACGAGCGCAACCCUUGCCUUUAGUUGCCAGCAGUUCGGCUGGGCACUCUAAAGGGACUGCCGGUGUUAAACCGGAGGAAGGUGGGGAUGACGUCAAGUCCUCAUGGCCUUUAUGACCAGGGCUACACACGUACUACAAUGGCCGAUACAAAGGGCAGCGACACUGCGAGGUGAAGCCAAUCCCGUAAAAUCGGUCUCAGUCCGGAUUGGAGUCUGCAACUCGACUCCAUGAAGUUGGAAUCGCUAGUAAUCGUGGAUCAGCAUGCCACGGUGAAUACGUUCCCGGGCCUU
RNAcentral lists this ribosomal RNA (497 nucleotides) under uncultured Desulfobulbus sp. RNAcentral's name for it is "bacterial SSU rRNA". It matches the Rfam family "Bacterial small subunit ribosomal RNA", at positions 904 to 1382 of the family's 1533-position model. Lineage: Bacteria; Pseudomonadati; Thermodesulfobacteriota; Desulfobulbia; Desulfobulbales; Desulfobulbaceae. The record is from RNAcentral.